RNAcentral lists this ribosomal RNA (396 nucleotides) under uncultured bacterium. RNAcentral describes it as "partial 16S ribosomal RNA". It matches the Rfam family "Bacterial small subunit ribosomal RNA", at positions 523 to 918 of the family's 1533-position model. The record is from RNAcentral.
AUACGUAGGUGGCAAGCGUUGUCCGGAAUUAUUGGGCGUAAAGCGCAUGUAGGCGGUUUGGUAAGUCGGUCGUGAAAAUGCGGUGCUUAACGCCGUAUGGCGAUUGAAACUGCUGAACUUGAGUGCAGGAGAGGAAAGGGGAACUCCCAGUGUAGCGGUGAAAUGGGUAGAUAUUGGGAAGAACACCGGUGGCGAAGGCGACUUUCUGGACUGUGUCUGACGCUCAGAUGCGAAAGCCAGGGUAGCGAACGGGAUUAGAUACCCCGGUAGUCCUGGCCGUAAACGAUGGGUACUAGGUGUGGGAGGUAUCGACUCCUUCCGUGCCGCAGUUAACACAAUAAGUAUUCCGCCUGGGGAGUACGGCCGCAAGGUUGAAACUCAAAUGAAUUGACGGGG